Labeo rohita (rohu) is the source of this 538-nucleotide long non-coding RNA. RefSeq lists it as uncharacterized. The transcript has 3 exons. NCBI's taxonomy places the organism in Eukaryota, Metazoa, Chordata, Actinopteri, Cypriniformes, Cyprinidae. The record is from RefSeq and is a predicted model, not a curated record.
CUCACCGCAGUACACUGUAAAUCUUUCAGCUUUCCUCCAGGGGGUCUGAACCCACAAACCUUGAGCUCUUAAAACAUUUGACCUCUAAACCGCACAGUGGCAUCAGAUGCUUCCAGAGAGCUGAGUGAAUCCCCGGUUAACCGCUCACUCCCUCAAGUUCAAAGCUGGGCUGUCCUGUAGUGAAAAACAGUCAUUGUAAGUAAGAACAUUUACUGUGAACUGUUAUGACUAAACAUUGUUUUUCUGUGUUCAGCCCAAAGGGAAUCCACAGUGAUCAUGAGCCUCACGACGUCACUGUGUAUGAAGAACCUUAGAUCUUGCCCUGAAAAUAAGCAUCAUCCUUUGUUUUAACAUCUCAUUUGUGUUCCACGUAGAAAGAAAGUCAAUCAAAACGACAUGAGGAGACCUUCAGGAUGAAUACAGUAGCUGCUGCAGGAUGUGACAGGGUGAAAGGAAAGCGGAGAGGACAGUAGCUGAGACCGCGGGCCUUUCGCUGCAGCGUGAGGGUCGUGUACCUGUGGGUGGAGUGAGUGGGCAC